AGGGAUAUAGCUCAGCUGGUAGAGUGCUUGCCUUGCAUGCACAAAGCCCUAGGUUCAAUUCCUAGCACCACAA
RNAcentral lists this transfer RNA (73 nucleotides) under Ictidomys tridecemlineatus (thirteen-lined ground squirrel). RNAcentral describes it as "Spermophilus tridecemlineatus (thirteen-lined ground squirrel) tRNA". It matches the Rfam family "tRNA". Rfam says of the family: Transfer RNA (tRNA) molecules are approximately 80 nucleotides in length. Their secondary structure includes four short double-helical elements and three loops (D, anti-codon, and T loops). Lineage: Eukaryota; Metazoa; Chordata; Mammalia; Rodentia; Sciuridae. The record is from Rfam by way of RNAcentral.